AUGGAGCCUAACUUAGGGCAAGCCCUGGCCACCGUCCUCACGCUGCUGGUGACCAUAAGGGCAGUAUGGUAUCUGAUUUGGAGGCCGUACGCCGUGGCCAGGUGGUUCGCGCGGCAGGGCAUCCGAGGUCCGCCUUACAGGUUCCUUGUUGGGUCCCUGCCAGAGUGCCAUAGGAUGCUUGUCGCCGGGAGAGCCAAGGCUCUGGACACCAGCUCCCAUGACUGCAUCACCACCGUGCAACCCUUCUUCCGGGAAUGGGCCUCCCAGUAUGGAAAAACAUUCCUGUACUGGUUGGGCCCGACACCAGCCCUGUGUUGUACUGACAUGGAGCUUGUGAAGCAAAUGUUCACCGUCAGGACAGAUGUGUUCCAGAAGGACUACUUGAACCCUAGCCUGGACUCAGUUUUUGGGAACGGGGUCAUAUUUGCAAACGGACAAGACUGGAAGCGACGCCGCAAAUUCGUCCACCCGGCCUUCAACCAGGAGACGAUCAAGUCCAUGUCAGCAAUAGCGUGGGACUGCACGCGGCAGACGAUGGAACGGUGGUGCGUCCAGCUGCGAGGGCAGCAGCAAGCCGAGAUAGACAUGAGGUACGACUCCGACGAGAUAGCCAUGGGUGUCAUUGCACAAGUGAUGUUGGGCAAGGACCACGAGGAGGCCCGGGAGGUGUUCAUCGCCGGAAGGGAGCAGCUGAAGAUUGCCGCGUAUGCGUCCGCGGAUCCUCCCUUACCUGGAUUCAGGUACCUGCCGACACGUCGCAACCGUCGGAUGUGGCAGCUCGACAAGCUUGUGACAAGCAAGAUCUCACCCAUCAUGAAGGCGCGACUUGCCAGCAGCGUAUACGAGGACGACCUGCUCGGGCAGAUGCUGCAGCAGCAGGCAUGUCGCAGUGGCAGCGGCGCCGAGACUCUGAGCACCCAGGAGAUGAUCGGCGAGUGCAGGACUCUGUUCGCCGCGGGGUACGAAACCAGCGCCAGCAUCAUUACCUGGGCGAUGUUCCUGCUGGCAGGAGAUGGUCAGUACCAGUAA
This 1029-nucleotide ribosomal RNA is filed under the name Triticum aestivum (bread wheat). RNAcentral describes it as "partial small subunit ribosomal RNA". Lineage: Eukaryota; Viridiplantae; Streptophyta; Magnoliopsida; Poales; Poaceae. The record is from RNAcentral.